AGCAAGACGUUGAAGAGAAGAGUAGAAAGUUAUUCAAUCAAUACAGAGACAUUUCGUUUGGUGAGAGAAAUGAGAGAGAAGCUUUCGAACAUGGCCUUGGAGUCAUCACAUCGAGAUUUGUUUUUAGAUUUAGGUUGUGACGGGUGUGCCCGUUAUAGCAUUGCGAGUAUGAUAGUACUCAAUAAGGUCUUUUUAGUGAUAAAAAGAUGAAUUAAGGUGGUAACACGUGAGUUUUCGCUCUCGUCCUUUGU
Molecule: non-coding RNA, 251 nt
Filed under: Parvimonas micra
Lineage: Bacteria; Bacillati; Bacillota; Tissierellia; Tissierellales; Peptoniphilaceae
Description: T-box sequence
Rfam family: T-box leader
About the family: Uncharged tRNA acts as the effector for transcription antitermination of genes in the T-box leader family. T-boxes are found upstream of many aminoacyl-tRNA synthetase genes and some amino acid biosynthetic genes usually in Gram-positive bacteria.
Source: RNAcentral